CGGGGGAGGCCGGAUCCUGGGCUGUGUCCGGCGCCCUGUGCCUGCGCUGGUGGAUUCGCGCUCCCGGGCAGCGCAGCCCCCU
RNAcentral lists this microRNA precursor (82 nucleotides) under Canis lupus familiaris (dog). Its description in RNAcentral is "mir-8799 microRNA precursor family". It matches the Rfam family "mir-8799 microRNA precursor family". The record is from Rfam by way of RNAcentral. Lineage: Eukaryota; Metazoa; Chordata; Mammalia; Carnivora; Canidae.